CUCCCCCACCGGCGGCGGCCGCCGCCCCUCCCCCACCGCCCCCCCCGGCCGUGUUCGCGCUGCACCCGCACGGCUUCGGCGUGGCCCAGCCCCCCGCCCAUCCCCCCCCGCAGGUGAUGCUGCUGCACCCCCCGGGCCCCUCCCCUGCCGGGGGGGUCCCGCAGGGGGGGGUGGGGGUGGGGCCCCUCCCCGGCUCCGGCCCCGCCCCCUUCGGCUUCCUCGGACACGCCCCAGUGCAGUCGCAGCAGCUCCACCAGUUCCACCCGGGGGGAAACUGAGGCACGGCCGGACCGGGGGGGGGAGGGGCCCGACCCCCCCCUCCCCCUUCCUCCCUUCCCCUCCCCCACCCCCCUUUUGUAUUAAUUUAUAGCGGGGGGGGAGGGGCGGGGGGAGAUUUGGGGCUGAAUGAGCCCGAAAAGGGAAAAAGGCUGAAAAAACAGAAAUAAAAUUUAAAAAAAACCCCAAACACGAUAAAAAUGGAAAUA
Molecule: non-coding RNA, 485 nt
Organism: Taeniopygia guttata (zebra finch)
Lineage: Eukaryota; Metazoa; Chordata; Aves; Passeriformes; Estrildidae
Source: RefSeq, a predicted model, not a curated record